Molecule: long non-coding RNA, 2640 nt
Organism: Bactrocera dorsalis (oriental fruit fly)
Lineage: Eukaryota; Metazoa; Arthropoda; Insecta; Diptera; Tephritidae
Exons: 4
Source: RefSeq, a predicted model, not a curated record
UAUACCCAAAUCGCGGGAAGAGUGUUUCGAUCACUCAAUGUGGAGUUGCAUUGCAACCGGGUGCCGGACCCAUAGUACGGCAGAGGUUUUAGAUGGGCCUCGAACCCUACCAAGGUGGUUAGUGUGUCCAUUCCACACUGCCAAUUGGUACUGAAAAUGCUCAGCAUUCUCAGGGCGCUGAUCAACGCAUUGAUUUGAUCCGUUGUACUUUUGAGUACCGUAGAGUAAGGUUGUCGUCAGCAGGUACCUACGUAAAACACACCGGACGUUGUUAUCUGCCGCCGACGUCUUGUCGCCACCGAAUACUGCGUAUAUGCAACCGCGUUACUGUUUGCCAUUAUUGUUCUAUUUUUCGUUGUCUUCGGAAACGCUGCGGACUUACAAGUAAGUUGUAGUUUUUUAAAAGUCUAGAUUAAUAUUGAAUAGUAAAUUAAUUAUUCUAUUGAAAUGGGAAAAACUAAAUGUGGAGUGAGUGAUAGACAUUUUCGUCGACUUGUGGCAAGAAGAAAAAGUGCACAAUUGAAAUCGUGAAAAAAGCUAUUGUUCCAGUAAAUGAAAAUGUUCCUAGUUGUAGCAAAAAUGUAUCCGAAGAACUAAAUAUAAAUAUAUGUAAUGUGCAUAAUGUGAAAGAAUAUGUUUUACGGAAUAGAUAUACAGCAAUAGAGAAUUUUUUUGAAAAGUUUUUUUAAAAGUCUAGAUUAAUAUUGAAUAGUAAAUUAAUUAUUCUAUUGAAAUGGGAAAAACUAAAUGUGGAGUGAGUGAUGGACAUUUUCGUCGACUUGUGGCAAGAAGAAAAAGUGCACAAUUGAAAUCGUGAAAAAAGCUAUUGUUCCAGUAAAUGAAAAUGUUCCUAGUUGUAGCAAAAAUGUAUCCGAAGAACUAAAUAUAAAUAUAUGUAAUGUGCAUAAUGUGAAAGAAUAUGUUUUACGGAAUAGAUAUACAGCAAUAGAGAAUUUUUUUGAACUACCAGUUAGAAGUUUGGAAUGGGAAUUGGAUUAGUGCAUGAAGUCGCCACUAAUGUAGAAAAAAGUAAAAGAGUUAUUGUACAAGGCAAUGUGCUUGCCAUAUCAAGAUAAAAUGUUUUUUUUGCCAAUUCUUCAUCACUUCACACUUUAAUUAUCCUUUCAAUUGAAUAUGUAAAUUGAAACAUAUAAUAUAAAUAUUGUUACAAAAAGUAGUAUUAAGUUGUAUUUGUAUUGCUAUAUGCAUCCCUUAUUAUGAACAAUAGCUGUAGGUAUAUGGAAUAGCAUUUGUCUUGUUGUAGACAUCUGGCGCCGCGGCUGUCUGCUCGUCGAAACAAUAGACAUCUGGCGCCGCACUAUCUGCUUGUCGAAACAAUAGACAUCUGGCGCCGCAGCCGUCUGCUUGAACAAUUGCAGAGUCUGCUUGUCUGCAUUUGGCGCCGUAUAGCAUUAUGUUCUGGUAAUUUCCAGACGCAAUAUUCUAGAAGGACACGUCGGCAUCAGCGAGAAGUGCGUGGCUAUAUAAGCCGUGGCAGCGCCAACGUAAUCAAUCAGUGCUAAGAGUAAACUGCUAUAGUGUAGACGAGUUGUGAAAUAAAGAGUUGUUGAAUUAAAUUAAACAGUGUUGAUUUUAUUUGUCAAUCCAGAGAUACGAACCUAACAAAGUAAACUAGCAAGCAGUAAAUUCGUAACAAUAUAAUCGAUUUAGACUAAAUAUUCCAAAAUGUCAAAACGGAGCUACACGAUGAUAAAUGACGAAAAUUCUCCACCUUGUCAAUGUGGAAAUAAAAUGAAAAAAUUGGAAGAAGAGGUACAACAAAUGAAAAACUUAAUUUGUGAGCUACAUGUGAAGAUGGAUAAACUGUUAGAGAAAGCAUUUCCGAAAUCUACAAGCCUGGACAUAUUUUCAUAAAAAAAAGCGUUGAAGAAAUGGAACAUUUUGAGGAAAAUGCUGAAAUGUUUCCAAAAAAUGACGUAAUUUGUAGCAUUAAAGAAUGUAUAGGUUCAACACCUAUUACAAAAUCUCUGCAAUUUGUCUUCACAGAAGACACAGAAGAGUGCUUGUUAGAGUACAAUUGGGAUGGGCUGCAGAAGAAAAAAUCAUUAAAAAAAACCAACUUAUUUGGAAAAUUUGUGUUUGAUGCUCUGAAGUCCCCCCAAUACGGCUUCCCAAAUUACGAAAAUGAUAUUAAAAAAUCGAUACAAUUAAUAAAAAAUAAGGUGUAUAAAAAAACCUACGAUAAUAAAUCAAAAUAAUAUAUUGAUGAAUUAAAAGUCUUUCGUGUCAUUAUUAAACAGCUUAUUUUUAUUAAAACAACUAGCUGACCCGGCGAACUUCGCCCCGCCCAAUAUUUAUUUUUAUUUUUGGAAGUCAUAGACUCGUAUAAUUUUACCACAAAUAAUAUAAACUUCAAACAACGCAUUUUCAUUUAAUGUUUUUAAUGUUUGUAGCGCCAUCUACUGUAACAUACCGCACUUACUCAAUACCGCUGUUAGCGCCACCAACUGAUGGAUAGCUCUUUGCUAAUAAUAAACAAAUAAUUUGCAAUAAAUAAAUAAUGCGACUAUAAGGAAAGUUAUAAACUAUCCUAUCUUUCAAGUUGGACCAAACUGCACACAGUGUUAAAAAUUUCAUUAAAAUCGGUUCAGUAGUUUAGGAGGCCAUCGCAAACAAACA